RNAcentral lists this long non-coding RNA (1101 nucleotides) under Cyanistes caeruleus (blue tit). Its description in RNAcentral is "lncRNA (ENSCCEG00000015740.1)". Lineage: Eukaryota; Metazoa; Chordata; Aves; Passeriformes; Paridae. The record is from RNAcentral.
GAAAGACAUUUCCAUAUUUUGUAAUUGACAUUUUCUGUGCCAUUUUCUUCUUUCUAGGGGUCAGAUGGUGACUCCUAGCCUAUCCCCUCCUACCUACCCCAGUGACUCUGUGGCAUCAGGGUAAAGAGCUUUUGUGAGAAGUCAUUCUUUAAAGUCAAUGAGCUCCCACAGACCUGGAAAAAAUAUUUUGGUAUUAUUUGUUCCAGUUUUUAUUUCUUUACCCUCACUCCUAGGUGUUUUAUUAAUUCUUUGGUUUUCCUGUCUCCUUUGCCAGCAGUUUCUGUAGGCUGCAUUUUUGUUGUGUAGUUUUGGUUUUUUUGGGAGGGUUUUUUGUUUUUUUGUUGUUUUUUUUUUUUUUUCUCCUUCAGUGCAAAGCAGCAUGAUUCAUUGUAUUUCCUUCUUAGUGAUCUCUCCUGGUUCCUCACCCCAUGUUCUCCACUGAUCAGACCCAUUGGUGAUUAGAUGCUCAGCAGAAGUGAUUUUGCAGCCUUUGACACCUUGCAUCCCCUGCUGCCUGGAUUUCAAAGAGAGCUUGAAGUAUCUUGAUUCUUCUGCGAGGGAAAAAAGGACACAUGCACUGAAACCAUAAUGAUUUUACCAGACGUUCACAGUACUUUCACCUGAAAUGGUAUCAGAUAGUGCCUCUGUAUCACAUCUCUAAUACCUUUUGAAAUGAAAUCUUCGGCUCCUAUUCAGAGAUCCCCCUUUUGUUCACUCAAAGCCAAGGGGACAGUCAGUGAGCUGGGGAGGUGGUUCAGGUCAGUACUGUCCCUUUUAACUCCUUGUGCACCACAGCAGCGAGCGUGGGGCGCCUCUGCCGGACAGGGAUUCCCAAAGGACCUGGGUGCAGACAGUGAGGCUGUUCCCAGUGCUAGCUGUGAACAACUGAACACAGAGAGAUAGAAAAACAACUUCUGGAUUACCUCAAGUGCGCUGGCAACAUAAGUAGCAACAGACUUCCAGAUGAAGAAGCCUAUGUGGAACAUGUAAAAUGGUAAGCAAAACUUGUGUGCUGAGUCUUAUGAAAAGUGUAAGAAAAGGAAAUUCUGCAGCUUGGGUUCCAACAUUCAUGUUUACUUUUAAAUCUAAAUGUGACCAGAC